Molecule: long non-coding RNA, 432 nt
Organism: Lotus japonicus
Lineage: Eukaryota; Viridiplantae; Streptophyta; Magnoliopsida; Fabales; Fabaceae
Exons: 3
Source: RefSeq, a predicted model, not a curated record
CUUGCUGUUGUAACUGUCGCACAUUCUGCAGGUGUUUCCUUCACUUCCGCCAGUGCUCGACGCUCGACACAAGCUCGACAGUCCGCCGGCAGCGCACCCACCACACCAGAGGCUCCCCUUCAACGACUCUUCCUCUGUGAUAAGUUCAUGCUCGAAGACUACAAUCCUUGAAGGCACUUACAUAUUCUCCUUCAACCAACUCUGAAAUUUUCUCCAGAUUGUAUAAAAUUGUAUUUGGGAUACUAGAGAAGGUUCGUGCUUUCCUACUAGAGAAGGUUGGUGAUACUCCACAAAAGAAAAAGAAAGGCAUACUUGGUGCUAAAGGUGUGAUAAAGAAGUAAGAUCAUGGCUUUGAAGCUUUCUUUCUUUUAUCCUUAUAUACAUGUUUCCUACUGGUUUUGUCUCUCCUCUUAUUUCUUUUUUAGUGUUUUU